GGAUGUGAGGGCGAUCUGGCUGUGACAUCUGUCAUCCCAUUGAUCUCCAGGGUUGAUUCGGCUGAUCUGGCUGGCUAGGCGGUGUCCCCUUCCUCCCUCACCGCUCCAUGUGUGUCCCUCCCGAAGCUGCGCGCUCCGCCUUCCCCCGAAUAGAAACAGACUGGUCUUAAGUCGAGUGUAUAAGAGUAGCUGCGCUCCCCUGCUAGAACCUCCAGACAAGCUCUCAAAAGCACAUUCAUCUGUAAACUAUCUUAAAUUCCAAAAUAUUUUCACAAAGAUAGCAAUCUUU
RNAcentral lists this small nuclear RNA (289 nucleotides) under Erinaceus europaeus (western European hedgehog). RNAcentral's name for it is "7SK RNA". It matches the Rfam family "7SK RNA". From Rfam's summary of the family: 7SK was discovered as an abundant small nuclear RNA in the mid-70s but a possible function has only recently been suggested. Two independent studies have found that 7SK RNA binds the CDK9/cyclin T complex (known as elongation factor P-TEFb). P-TEFb activates transcription by phosphorylating the C-terminal domain of RNA polymerase II. The record is from Rfam by way of RNAcentral. Lineage: Eukaryota; Metazoa; Chordata; Mammalia; Eulipotyphla; Erinaceidae.